Molecule: ribosomal RNA, 491 nt
Filed under: uncultured bacterium
Lineage: Bacteria
Description: partial 16S ribosomal RNA
Rfam family: Bacterial small subunit ribosomal RNA
Source: RNAcentral
GAUGAACGCUGGCUACAGGCUUAACACAUGCAAGUCGAGGGGAAACGACGGGGAAGCUUGCUUCCCCGGGCGUCGACCGGCGCACGGGUGAGUAACGCGUAUCCAACCUGCCUCUGACUGAGGGAUAACCCGUCGAAAGUCGGCCUAAUACCUCAUGGCAUCGUCUGCGGGCAUCCAACGACGAUUAAAGAUUUCAUCGGUCAGAGAUGGGGAUGCGUCUGAUUAGCUUGUUGGCGGGGUAACGGCCCACCAAGGCGACGAUCAGUAGGGGUUCUGAGAGGAAGGUCCCCCACAUUGGAACUGAGACACGGUCCAAACUCCUACGGGAGGCAGCAGUGAGGAAUAUUGGUCAAGGGGGGAGAGCCUGAACCAGCCAAGUAGCGUGCAGGAGGACGGCCCUAUGGGUGGUAAACUGCUUUUAUGCGGGGAUAAAGUGAGGGACGUGUCCUUCAUUGCAGGUACCGAAUGAAUAAGGACCGGCUAAUUCCGUG